CCUACGGGUGGCUGCAGUAAGGAAUAUUGGUCAAUGGAGGAAACUCUGAACCAGCCAUCCCGCGUGAAGGAUGAAGGGGCUCUGCCUUGUAAACUUCUUUUGUCUGGGGCGAAAAAGCUCGAUUUAUCGAGAACUGACGGUACCAGAAGAAUAAGCACCGGCUAACUCCGUGCCAGCAGCCGCGGUAAUACGGAGGGUGCCGGAGUUAUCCGGAAUCACGGGUGCGAAGGCGUGUUAGUAAGUCAGUGGUGAAAGGCGUGGGCUUAACCAUGGAAUUGCCAUGGAUACUGCAGAGCUUGAAUGAGGUUGAGGUUGGCGGAAUGUGACAUGUAGCGGUGAAAUGCUUAGAUAUGUCAUGGAACACCGAUUGCGAAGGCAGCUGACUGGACCUAUAUUGACGCUGAGGCACGAAAGCGUGGGGAGCGAACAGGAUUAGAUACCCGAGUAGUC
RNAcentral lists this ribosomal RNA (450 nucleotides) under uncultured bacterium. RNAcentral's name for it is "partial 16S ribosomal RNA". It matches the Rfam family "Bacterial small subunit ribosomal RNA", at positions 338 to 795 of the family's 1533-position model. The record is from RNAcentral.